This 327-nucleotide ribosomal RNA is filed under the name uncultured eukaryote. RNAcentral describes it as "partial 18S ribosomal RNA". It matches the Rfam family "Eukaryotic small subunit ribosomal RNA", at positions 1470 to 1796 of the family's 1831-position model. The record is from RNAcentral.
CCCUUAGAUGUUCUGGGCUGCACGCGCGCUACACUGAAGCGUUCAACGAGUAUUCACCUUGCCCGGGAGGGUUGGGUAAUCUUUUGAAAACGCUUCGUGAUGGGGAUAGAUUAUUGCAAUUAUUAAUCUUCAACGAGGAAUUCCUAGUAAGCGCGAGUCAUCAGCUCGUGCUGAUUACGUCCCUGCCCUUUGUACACACCGCCCGUCGCUCCUACCGAUUGGGUGUGCUGGUGAAAUGUUCGGAUCGGCCGUUUGUCGCGGUUUCCGCGGCUCGUGGCUGAGAAGUUCAUUAAACCCUCCCACCUAGAGGAAGGAGAAGUCGUAACA